This 429-nucleotide ribosomal RNA is filed under the name Bacteroidota bacterium. Its description in RNAcentral is "Bacteroidetes bacterium partial 16S ribosomal RNA". It matches the Rfam family "Bacterial small subunit ribosomal RNA", at positions 355 to 776 of the family's 1533-position model. Lineage: Bacteria; Pseudomonadati; Bacteroidota. The record is from RNAcentral.
UAGGGAAUCUUCGGCAAUGGGGGGAACCCUGACCGAGCAACGCCGCGCGAGUGAAGAAGGUUUUCGGAUCGUAAAGCUCUGUUGUUAAGGAAGAACGAGUGUGAGAAUGGAAAGUUCAUGCUGUGACGGUACUUAACCAGAAAGGGACGGCUAACUACGUGCCAGCAGCCGCGGUAAUACGUAGGUCCCGAGCGUUGUCCGGAUUUAUUGGGCGUAAAGCGAGCGCAGGCGGUUAGAAAAGUCUGAAGUGAAAGGCAGUGGCUCAACCAUUGUAGGCUUUGGAAACUGUUUAACUUGAGUGCGGAAGGGGAGAGUGGAAUUCCAUGUGUAGCGGUGAAAUGCGUAGAUAUAUGGAGGAACACCGGUGGCGAAAGCGGCUCUCUGGUCUGUAACUGACGCUGAGGCUCGAAAGCGUGGGGAGCGAACAGG